RNAcentral lists this ribosomal RNA (183 nucleotides) under uncultured bacterium. RNAcentral's name for it is "partial 16S ribosomal RNA". The record is from RNAcentral.
CGGGUAUUUGCUCAUCGGGCGCACGCCUCGACCCACGCCAUCGCCGCGUGCAGGAUGACAGGUCCUAUGGAUUGGUAAACUGCUUUUGCACGGGGAAAAAACACUCCUACGUGUAGGAACUUGACGGUACUGUAAGAAUAAGGAUCGGCUAACUCCAUGCCAGCAGCCGCGGUAAUAAUAAAA